UUUGCACUGCUAGCACAAGUGCUCUGUUGACAGAGUCCUGUUAGCAGCUCACCAACCAUAGAGAAUUGCAGUUCCCUGGAUGGGAGGUGAUUUUGCACAGUCAGACAAAAAGAAAGUCAAGGCUGAAGGCGGAAAAAGAGAGACUUCUUUAGAAGCAGUGAGAAAAAGAAAGGGAGAGGGCAGAGAAGGAUUGAGGAAGGAGAACAUGAAAAAGGAGACCGGAGAAAGAACAAUUGUUAAAGGACAAGCUUUGCCACUGUCUCCUUGGCUGUGACCUGCCUGAAUGGGACAAAGUGUUUACUCUCUGCAUGCUGCUAUGCACUGAGUGCCAGGUAAAAAGACUGAUCUUCCACACCCUGGCAGUAACAUCUCUCUUGUGCAGUGUCAGCAGGAAACAAAUCUGCUAAACCUAGACUCAUUCCCUGGGUUUCAAAGGAGCCUUGUGAAGAAUCAGAAUUGGGUUGCAUUAAGUUUGAACUUAUCUAGAAAUGGGAGUUAUUUCAAAGAAAUGAAAGUAAGAAGUUUUUAUCUCAGAUGUGAGAAAUUUGCAGCCCAUUCCAGCCUGGUGGAGAUUAAGUCUCCAGUCCUUCAGUAACAUCCUGAAAACAACUCUACAAGAGAGCUGUCAGAAGAUGCUAUCCAAAAUUUUGGUGGGCUAGUGGAUGAAACCAAAUCUUGCUUAUUAUUGGUUGUUUGGCAUCAACUGGAGAGUGAGUGAUUUGUAGUGACCGACCACAAGGAAAGGUGGAAGUGGACUUGAAUUGACAAGUAACACCAGAGGAGUCUAGAGAAACCAGCCCUUGGAAGUGUUAAGUGUUAAGGAGUGAGCCAGGGGUACUGAAUCUACUCACACUGUGAAGAGAAUGGAUUGCAAACAGACAUUAAGAGGACUUGGUGUUGAUGGCUGAUGAAAAGUUCAAUAUGAGACAGUAAUAUGCACUGCAGCACAGAAAAAUGACUGUAUCCUGGGCUGAAUCAAAAAAUGUGAAGGACAGGCCAAAAGAGGUGAUUCUCCUCUUCAACUCUGCUCUUGUGAGAUCCCACCGAGAGUACUGCAUUCAGCUUUGAGCCCCUGCAGAAGAAGGACAUGGACCUAUUGGAGUGAGACCAGAGGAGGAUCUGAUGAUGAGAGGGUGGGAGCACCUCUCCUUUGAAGACAGGCUGAGAGAGUUGGGGUCCUUCAGCCUGGAGAAGAUUCCAGACAGACCUUAUUAGUGGUCUUCCAGUACCUAAAGGGGUCCUACAAGAAAACGAUGAGAAGAGAGACAUUUUACAAGGGUAGGCAGUGAUAGGAGUAGGGUUAAUGACUUUGAACUGAAAGAAGGUAGAUUUAGAGUAGAUAGAAGGAAGAAAUUAUUAAUGAUGAGGGUGUUGAGGCCCUGGAACAUUUUGCUCAGAGAAGAUGUGAAUGCCUCAUCCCUGGAAGUAUUCAAGACCAAUUUGAACAGGGCUUUUAGCACCCCGGACUAGUGGAAGGUGUUCCUGCCCAUGGCAAUGAGAUUGGAACUAGACUGUCUCUAAGGUCCUUUCCAAUAUAAACUGUUCUCUGAUUAUAUGAUUAUAUGUUAAUCAAGACAAAAUGACAGUACAAUCAUACGCAGUCACAGAGGACGGGAAGAGUCCAUGUUGCCAAGCUACACGGGAUGUUUGCAGAAGAGCAGAUGCUAAUCAGGACAUAGAGAGCAGAGGAAGCCCAAGGCACAUGCAUAUCUGAGUUGAAUCAAAGUUUACAAAUGCAGACGCAUAACUUGUUCACCGAACAGAUGCAGCAUCUCUUUUUAAAGAGCUGUCUACAGGAUCAAAGAAAUGAGAGAAGAUGUAGUGGCAAAAUGGUGUGACUGCCUGUCCCAAACUCUACCAGAACCCUGGAAAUAGACAUACAAGACCUCAGUCUUCCUAUCCAUCUGUUGUAUGCAAAUAGCUGAGAAAAUCCUACCCGAAAUGAGUGUCCUACUCAUUCCCCUUCUGUAUGGGAACUGCUGAAUAACGGCCUGAUCAACCAGAGGUUGAUCACCCGAGGCAAGCAGUGAGUCAGCCAAGGAGCACAGGUGAAGGCAAUUCACCUGUGCUGCCGGAAAGGGUGGAGCCUUGCUCCACUUCUCCUGGACCCAUUUAAGAGUUGACUGCCAGUGGAGAAGGAUCUCUUCUGGAGAUCUCUCCUCUGGAGUUUUGUAGUGAGCCCAGGACGCAGGUAAG
Molecule: long non-coding RNA, 2196 nt
Organism: Meleagris gallopavo (turkey)
Lineage: Eukaryota; Metazoa; Chordata; Aves; Galliformes; Phasianidae
Source: RefSeq, a predicted model, not a curated record